UUUGUAACAUCACAUUUUUUACGAAGCAUUAUUGUCGUCGUUGCAGCAUCACUGAUAACGUUUAAAAAGUCAAUGUCAUCGGCAUCCGUCCAAAAGUUUCUUCGGACGCACGAUGUUGUGUGCAUCGUUUUCGCACGAAUACGCGCGCGUUUAUAUAUAUAUAUAUAUAUAUGUACUUUUUUUUAGAGCAAAGUGCACAUACGAUAUACUUUCGUAUAUUCAUUGUAUGUCGUCAGUGUAUAUACGUGUGUGUGUGUGCGCGCGCGCGCGUAUGUAUCAAGUAUAGAUAACGACGUACAUACGACGCGCGUGCUCACGUAUCAUGUACUUGGUGUUCAAUUUGUAAAUGUGUUACAUAGUAUAUAUACAUGGCGUGCAAGUGGUAUAUAUAUACAUAUACAUAUAUAUAUAUAUAUAUAUAUAUAUAAAGUCGAAGUCCCAAGAUCGAAAAGAAAAAAAAAAAAGAAAAACAUGGAAACUCUGUCCUCUCCCGCUCUUUCUCUCGUCGAACAACAACAUCGAGUUGUACCAAAUACAAGUUUAAACUAGUUUCAAUCUACGUUUAAAAUUCUCGCGAAUGGCAGAGAGCAGAGAAAAGUCGCGAUCUCUCUCACUCCUGGAUUUAAACAAGAACAGACAUUCUCGUGUUGUAACCUUCUGUCUGUCUCCGCUAGAAAAGAAAGCGGACGGUGGAGGAAGAAUUCGUGAGGCUUUUCAAAAGAAAGAGAUUCGCAUGUACCUGCUGCUGAAUGAAGGGGAUGACUAAAAAAAUCCCCCCGAUCAUUCACGGGAAAGAAGCAUCGCACUAAACGCGCCUACGUGACACAGAUCGACGACAUCGAUGAGAUACGUAAGUAUCUCAAGUACCGUCGCAAUAUUUAAAAAAAACCGAUCGACGAAUGGUACCUUUUUCUCUUUUUCUCUUUCUUUAUUUACCCCUUCCCUUUCUCUCUGCCUUUUUUUCCUUUUAUCCUUUUCAGAUCUUCCGGAAGAGAAACAAAUAUUGACCAAAGCGAAUUCGUGAGAGGACGGAGCCUCGACGUGUGUAUGUUACGUAUAUAUGUGUGUAUAUCGCGUCGGGAAGGAGAAGAUACAUGUGUAUCGUCUCUCAUACGUUACGUAUAUGCGUCUCGAUUGUGUGUAGUAAGAGCACCGAUAUAGUAAUACAGUAGAGUAGUGUAGUACUAAUAGUAGUAGUAGUAGUAGUAGUAGUAGUAGUAGUAGUAGUAUAGUACUAAUGUAGUGGUAGUAGCAGUAUUGGUAAUAAUGUAUAAUAGCAAUAGCGACAGUCGUGUGAAAAUUACGUCUGUUUCGUCAUUGAAUAAAAAAUGUGGAGGCAAACCUUUGGAUUAGAGUCUCGGCCACGGAAACACUCUCUAAUGCCAUUGUUUUGUCCCGAUCGAUCGUGUUUUGUACCAUACGAUAUACCACUGUGGCCCGAAGUUGAUCAUUCGAUCGAUAGACGCGACCACACACGACGGAUCUUUGCUCGUGGAUUCGCGUGCCUGUAUGUGAUCAUUUGAGACUUUGAAAAUAACUUGAUAAUGGGCAAAUAAACUCAAAGGAAGGCCCGA
This is a long non-coding RNA of Vespa crabro (European hornet), 1574 nucleotides long. RefSeq lists it as uncharacterized. The transcript has 3 exons. Lineage: Eukaryota; Metazoa; Arthropoda; Insecta; Hymenoptera; Vespidae. The record is from RefSeq and is a predicted model, not a curated record.